Molecule: ribosomal RNA, 459 nt
Filed under: Vibrio cholerae
Lineage: Bacteria; Pseudomonadati; Pseudomonadota; Gammaproteobacteria; Vibrionales; Vibrionaceae
Description: partial 23S ribosomal RNA
Rfam family: Bacterial large subunit ribosomal RNA
Source: RNAcentral
UUAACUGGGCGCUCAGUCUCUGGAUAUAGACCCGAAACCGGGUGAUCUAGCCAUGGGCAGGUUGAAGGUUGAGUAACAUCAACUGGAGGACCGAACCGACUAAUGUUGAAAAAUUAGCGGAUGACUUGUGGCUAGGGGUGAAAGGCCAAUCAAACUCGGAGAUAGCUGGUUCUCCCCGAAAGCUAUUUAGGUAGCGCCUCGGACGAAUACUACUGGGGGUAGAGCACUGUUAAGGCUAGGGGGUCAUCCCGACUUACCAACCCUUUGCAAACUCCGAAUACCAGUAAGUACUAUCCGGGAGACACACGGCGGGUGCUAACGUCCGUCGUGGAGAGGGAAACAACCCAGACCGCCAGCUAAGGUCCCAAAGUAUUGCUAAGUGGGAAACGAUGUGGGAAGGCUCAGACAGCUAGGAUGUUGGCUUAGAAGCAGCCAUCAUUUAAAGAAAGCGUAAUAGCU